This is a long non-coding RNA of Etheostoma spectabile (orangethroat darter), 456 nucleotides long. RefSeq lists it as uncharacterized. The record is from RefSeq and is a predicted model, not a curated record. The transcript is spliced from 3 exons. Lineage: Eukaryota; Metazoa; Chordata; Actinopteri; Perciformes; Percidae.
UCCUUGAACACAAAUUAUCCUGGAAACCACAUGUUAGUCAUAUUAAAACUAAAAUAUCAAAGUCAACAGCAAUUCUGAACAAAACCAAAGAUAUUGUUAAUACAAAUGCUUUAUAUCUAUUAUAUCAAUCUCUAUUAGUUCCAUAUAAAACUUGUGGUGUGGAAUUUUGGGGAAAAACAUGUAAAUCCUUCACAAAUCCAAUUUUCUUACUUCAAAAGAGAGCAAUUCGAAUCAUAAAUGGGGCAAAUUAUCAUGAAUCAACAAAUCAUUUAUUUAUAACUUUACAGGUACUUAAAUUUAGUGAACUUGGAGACCUUAAAAUAGCAUGUACAUGUAACUGUAAUGUACAAAAUAUAUAAUAGCAUGUUGCCAGACUGUAUCAAGAGGUUGUUUCAAAUAAAAAAUGUCAAUAUGAACUGAGGGGAAGCAGUAUUUUCAUUAAACCAAAUAGCAGAA